RNAcentral lists this ribosomal RNA (445 nucleotides) under uncultured bacterium. RNAcentral describes it as "SSU rRNA". It matches the Rfam family "Bacterial small subunit ribosomal RNA", at positions 26 to 518 of the family's 1533-position model. The record is from RNAcentral.
AGAGCGAACGCUGGCGGCAGGCCUAAUACAUGCAAGUCGAACGGACCCUUCGGGGUUAGUGGCGGACGGGUGAGUAACACGUGGGAACGUGCCCUUUGGUUCGGAACAACUCAGGGAAACUUGAGCUAAUACCGAAUGUGCCCUUCGGGGGAAAGAUUUAUCGCCAUUGGAGCGGCCCGCGUCUGAUUAGCUAGUUGGUGAGGUAAAGGCUCACCAAGGCUACGAUCAGUAGCUGGUCUGAGAGGAUGAUCAGCCACACUGGGACUGAGACACGGCCCAGACUCCUACGGGAGGCAGCAGUAGGGAAUCUUGCGCAAUGGGCGAAAGCCUGACGCAGCCAUGCCGCGUGAAUGAUGAAGGUCUUAGGAUUGUAAAAUUCUUUCAGCGGGGACGAUAAUGACGGUACCGCAGAAGAAGCCCCGGCUAACUUCGUGCCAGCAGCCGC